This 419-nucleotide ribosomal RNA is filed under the name bacterium. Its description in RNAcentral is "partial 16S ribosomal RNA". It matches the Rfam family "Bacterial small subunit ribosomal RNA", at positions 355 to 776 of the family's 1533-position model. The record is from RNAcentral.
UGGGGGAUAUUGCACAAUGGGCGAAAGCCUGAUGCAGCGACGCCGCGUGGGGGAGGAAGGCCUUCGGGUUGUAAACUUCUUUUGCUCUGAACAAGGCGCACCAUGGGGUGUGUUGAGUGUAGGGGUUGAUUAGCGCCGGCUAACUACGUGCCAGCAGCCGCGGUAAUACGUAGGGCGCGAGCGUUGUCCGGAAUUAUUGGGCGUAAAGGGCUUGUAGGUGGCUGGUUGCGUCUGUCGUGAAAGCUCAUGGCUUAACUGUGGGUUUGCGGUGGGUACGGGCUGGCUUGAGUGCAGUAGGGGAGGCUGGAAUUCCUGGUGUAGCGGUGGAAUGCGCAGAUAUCAGGAGGAAUACCGGUGGCGAAGGCGGGUCUCUGGGCUGUUACUGACACUGAGGAGCGAAAGCAUGGGGAGCGAACAGG